This 687-nucleotide ribosomal RNA is filed under the name uncultured bacterium. RNAcentral describes it as "bacterial SSU rRNA". It matches the Rfam family "Bacterial small subunit ribosomal RNA", at positions 828 to 1515 of the family's 1533-position model. The record is from RNAcentral.
GCCCUUGAGGCGUGGCUUCCGGAGCUAACGCGUUAAGUCGACCGCCUGGGGAGUACGGCCGCAAGGUUAAAACUCAAAUGAAUUGACGGGGGCCCGCACAAGCGGUGGAGCAUGUGGUUUAAUUCGAUGCAACGCGAAGAACCUUACCUACUCUUGACAUCCAGAGAACUUAGCAGAGAUGCUUUGGUGCCUUCGGGAACUCUGAGACAGGUGCUGCAUGGCUGUCGUCAGCUCGUGUUGUGAAAUGUUGGGUUAAGUCCCGCAACGAGCGCAACCCUUAUCCUUUGUUGCCAGCGAUUCGGUCGGGAACUCAAAGGAGACUGCCAGUGAUAAACUGGAGGAAGGUGGGGAUGACGUCAAGUCAUCAUGGCCCUUACGAGUAGGGCUACACACGUGCUACAAUGGCAUAUACAAAGAGAAGCGACCUCGCGAGAGCAAGCGGACCUCAUAAAGUAUGUCGUAGUCCGGAUUGGAGUCUGCAACUCGACUCCAUGAAGUCGGAAUCGCUAGUAAUCGUGGAUCAGAAUGCCACGGUGAAUACGUUCCCGGGCCUUGUACACACCGCCCGUCACACCAUGGGAGUGGGUUGCAAAAGAAGUAGGUAGCUUAACCUUCGGGAGGGCGCUUACCACUUUGUGGUUCAUGACUGGGGUGAAGUCGUAACAAGGUAACCGUAGGGGAACCUGC